CAGCCGCCGCGGGAAUACAGAGGGUGCGAGCGUUAAUCGGAUUUACUGGGCGUAAAGCGUGCGUAGGCGGCUUCUUAAGUCGGAUGUGAAAUCCCUGAGCUUAACUUAGGAAUUGCAUUCGAUACUGGGAAGCUAGAGUAUGGGAGAGGAUGGUAGAAUUCCAGGUGUAGCGGUGAAAUGCGUAGAGAUCUGGAGGAAUACCAAUGGCGAAGGCAGCCAUCUGGCCUAAUACUGACGCUGAGGUACGAAAGCAUGGGGAGCAAACAGGAUUAGAUACCCCUGUAGUCCCUGUCUCUUAUAA
This 301-nucleotide ribosomal RNA is filed under the name uncultured bacterium. RNAcentral describes it as "partial 16S ribosomal RNA". It matches the Rfam family "Bacterial small subunit ribosomal RNA", at positions 509 to 809 of the family's 1533-position model. The record is from RNAcentral.